CGAACGCUGGCGGCGUGCCUAAGACAUGCAAGUCGUACGGUAAGGCACCUUCGGGUGUACACGAGUGGCGUACGGGUGAGUAACGCGUGGGUAAUCUGCCCUCAGGUCGGGGACAACUUCGGGAAACUGGAGCUAAUACCGGAUGAGCCCACGAGGCCUUCGGGCCUCGCGGGAAAAGGUGGCCUCUCCUUGGAAGCUACCGCCAGGGGAUGAGCCCGCGUCCCAUUAGCUUGUUGGUGAGGUAACGGCUCACCAAGGCAACGAUGGGUAGCUGGUCUGAGAGGAUGAUCAGCCACACUGGAACUGAGACACGGUCCAGACUCCUACGGGAGGCAGCAGUCGGGGAUUUUGGGCAAUGGGCGCAAGCCUGACCCAGCAACGCCGCGUGAGGGAUGAAGGCCUUCGGGUCGUAAACCUCUGUCGGGAGGGAAGAACGUUCUCCGGGUAAAUAAUCCGGGGAGCUGACGGUACCUCCAAAGGAAGCACCGGCUAACUCC
RNAcentral lists this ribosomal RNA (497 nucleotides) under uncultured bacterium. RNAcentral describes it as "bacterial SSU rRNA". It matches the Rfam family "Bacterial small subunit ribosomal RNA", at positions 30 to 504 of the family's 1533-position model. The record is from RNAcentral.